UGCAUUCACUACUGUAAGUCGCUCUGGAUACGAGCGUCUGCUAAAUUAUGUAAA
Non-coding RNA from Salmo salar (Atlantic salmon), 54 nucleotides. NCBI's taxonomy places the organism in Eukaryota, Metazoa, Chordata, Actinopteri, Salmoniformes, Salmonidae. The record is from Rfam.